AACGAACGAGGGAGGAAGGAGGAACACAUGCAAGUCGAACGAGACCUUCGGGUCUAGUGGCGCACGGGUGCGUAACGCGUGGGAACCUGCCCUUAGGUUCGGAAUAACUCCCCGAAAGGGGUGCUAAUACCGGAUAAUGUCUUCGGACCAAAGAUUUAUCGCCUUUGGAUGGGCCCGCGUUGGCUUAGCUAGUUGGUAGGGUAAAAGCCUACCAAGGCGACGAUCCAUAGCUGGUCUGAGAGGAUGAUCAGCCACACUGGGACUGAGACACGGCCCAGACUCCUACGGGAGGCAGCAGUGGGGAAUAUUGGACAAUGGGCGAAAGCCUGAUCCAGCAAUGCCGCGUGAGUGAUGAAGGCCUUAGGGUUGUAAAGCUCUUUUACCCGGGAUGAUACUGACAGUACCGGGAGAAUAAGCUCCGGCUAACUCCGUG
RNAcentral lists this ribosomal RNA (433 nucleotides) under uncultured bacterium. RNAcentral describes it as "partial 16S ribosomal RNA". It matches the Rfam family "Bacterial small subunit ribosomal RNA", at positions 29 to 507 of the family's 1533-position model. The record is from RNAcentral.